This 87-nucleotide transfer RNA is filed under the name Chromatiales bacterium. RNAcentral describes it as "tRNA-Leu". It matches the Rfam family "tRNA". From Rfam's summary of the family: Transfer RNA (tRNA) molecules are approximately 80 nucleotides in length. Their secondary structure includes four short double-helical elements and three loops (D, anti-codon, and T loops). Further hydrogen bonds mediate the characteristic L-shaped molecular structure. tRNAs have two regions of fundamental functional importance: the anti-codon, which is responsible for specific mRNA codon recognition, and the 3' end, to which the tRNAs corresponding amino acid is attached (by aminoacyl-tRNA synthetases). tRNAs cope with the degeneracy of the genetic code in two manners: having more than one tRNA (with a specific anti-codon) for a particular amino acid; and 'wobble' base-pairing, i.e. permitting non-standard base-pairing at the 3rd anti-codon position. Lineage: Bacteria; Pseudomonadati; Pseudomonadota; Gammaproteobacteria; Chromatiales. The record is from RNAcentral.
GCCGGGGUGGCGGAAUUGGUAGACGCGCUGGCUUCAGGUGCCAGUAGGGGAGACCCUGUGGAGGUUCAAGUCCUCUCCUCGGCACCA